UACAGAGGUCCCGAGCGUUGUUCGGAUUCACUGGGCGUAAAGGGUGCGUAGGUGGUGGAGUAAGUUUGAUGUGAAAUCUCCGGGCUUAACCCGGAAACGGCAUUGAAUACUAUUUUGCUGGAGGUUUGGAGGGGGGACUGGAAUUCUCGGUGUAGCAGUGAAAUGCGUAGAUAUCGAGAGGAACACCAGUGGCGAAGGCGAGUCCCUGGACAACACCUGACACUGAGGCACGAAAGCUAGGGGAGCAAACAGG
Molecule: ribosomal RNA, 253 nt
Filed under: uncultured prokaryote
Description: partial 16S ribosomal RNA
Rfam family: Bacterial small subunit ribosomal RNA
Source: RNAcentral